CUCCCCUCCUCCUAGGUAACAGUUGCUGUGAAUUCUGAAGAGAAAAAGAUUCCCGAACAACUUUUUCAACCAAUUGAUUACCUCAGAGUAACUUCAGCUGCCCUGGACCUAUAGUGAAAACUCUUUAACAUGAGGAACACUCAAAAUGCUACCUCUUCUGCUAAUAUGCAGUUUCAAAGCAUUUGAAAUUUUGCAAGCACUGCAGUCAGCACACAGUCCCUAAGACAAAACUCAUCCCUUCAAGUAGCUGGUUCUUAAUGUCAUCCUUAUUAAGGUGCAGAGUUUGACCUCUGUAGCUGUGGCCUAAGAAGAGAAUAAAAUGAAAUCUGGGAAACUCUGAUUUCAGCUAGCCUUGUCCUCCCCUUCCACAUCCUACAAUCCAACUGUAGAAGGAACAUGAAUAGACCAGGACAGCCAAAUCUGACCUGCCUGCUUCAAGACUACAAGAUUUCUUCUAAGUCCUUCUGUUUGCUUAGAUCAGAAUUCAGCAUAAAGCACUCACUUGUAAAUGCAGAAACAAAAACAAACAAACAAACAAAUAAAUAAAAGAGAAGAAAACUACAAAAGUUCCAGUACUUGGAGUUUCACCUCUAAUUGGAACUCUG
Long non-coding RNA from Gallus gallus (chicken), 605 nucleotides. RefSeq lists it as uncharacterized. Lineage: Eukaryota; Metazoa; Chordata; Aves; Galliformes; Phasianidae. The transcript has 3 exons. The record is from RefSeq and is a predicted model, not a curated record.